Molecule: ribosomal RNA, 492 nt
Filed under: uncultured bacterium
Lineage: Bacteria
Description: bacterial SSU rRNA
Rfam family: Bacterial small subunit ribosomal RNA
Source: RNAcentral
GACGAACGCUGGCGGCGCGCCUAACACAUGCAAGUCGAGCGAGAACCAGGGCUUGCCCCUGGGGACAGCGGCGAACGGGUGAGUAACACGUGGAUAACCUGCCCUCGGCACCGGAAUAGCCCGGGGAAACCCGGAUUAAUGCCGGAUGGCCCCACAUCCCUGCGGGGAACGUGGGAAAAGGUAGCUUCGGCCUCCGGCCGAGGAUGGGUCCGCGGUGGAUUAGCUUGUUGGCGGGGUAACGGCCCACCAAGGCGACGAUCCAUAGCUGGUCUGAGAGGACGAUCAGCCACACUGGGACUGAGACACGGCCCAGACUCCUACGGGAGGCAGCAGUGGGGAAUCUUGCGCAAUGGGCGAAAGCCUGACGCAGCGACGCCGCGUGCGGGACGAAGGCCUUAGGGUUGUAAACCGCUUUCAGGAGGGACGAAGCCACUCGGGUGAACAGCCCAGAGGGUGACGGUACCUCCAGAAGAAGCCCCGGCUAACUACGUG